GAUGAACGCUGGCGGCGUGCUUAACACAUGCAAGUCGAACGAUGAAGCCCAGCUUGCUGGGUGGAUUAGUGGCGAACGGGUGGGUAACACGUGAGUAACCUGCCCUCGACUCUGGGAUAAGCGCUGGAAACGGCGUCUAAUACCGGAUACGAGCUUCCGCCGCAUGGUGAGUUGCUGGAAAGAAUUUCGGUCAAGGAUGGACUCGCGGCCUAUCAGGUAGUUGGUGAGGUAACGGCUCACCAAGCCGACGACGGGUAGCCGGCCUGAGAGGGUGACCGGCCACACUGGGACUGAGACACGGCCCAGACUCCUACGGGAGGCAGCAGUGGGGAAUAUUGCACAAUGGGCGCAAGCCUGAUGCAGCAACGCCGCGUGAGGGACGAAGGCCUUCGGGUCGUAAACCUCUUUUAGCAGGGAAGAAGCGAAAGUGACGGUACCUGCAGAAAAAGCACCGGCUAACUACGUG
Molecule: ribosomal RNA, 466 nt
Filed under: uncultured bacterium
Lineage: Bacteria
Description: partial 16S ribosomal RNA
Rfam family: Bacterial small subunit ribosomal RNA
Source: RNAcentral